UGUGUCAUGGUGUAGUUGACUAUCAUGUGACUCUAACACACUGAAGGUCUCUGGUUUGAGUCCAGGCGACACUA
RNAcentral lists this transfer RNA (74 nucleotides) under Zingiber officinale. Its description in RNAcentral is "tRNA-Val". Lineage: Eukaryota; Viridiplantae; Streptophyta; Magnoliopsida; Zingiberales; Zingiberaceae. The record is from RNAcentral.